UACGGAGGGGGCUAGCGUUGUUCGGAAUUACUGGGCGUAAAGCGCACGUAGGCGGCUUUGUAAGUUAGAGGUGAAAGCCCGGGGCUCAACUCCGGAAUUGCCUUUAAGACUGCAUCGCUAGAAUUGUGGAGAGGGAAGUGGAAUUCCGAGUGUAGAGGUGAAAUUCGUAGAUAUUCGGAAGAACACCAGUGGCGAAGGCGACUUACUGGACACAUAUUGACGCUGAGGUGCGAAAGCGUGGGGAGCAAACAGG
Molecule: ribosomal RNA, 253 nt
Filed under: uncultured bacterium
Lineage: Bacteria
Description: partial 16S ribosomal RNA
Rfam family: Bacterial small subunit ribosomal RNA
Source: RNAcentral